This 190-nucleotide unclassified non-coding RNA is filed under the name uncultured Sordariomycetes. Its description in RNAcentral is "sequence contains ITS1". The record is from RNAcentral. Lineage: Eukaryota; Fungi; Ascomycota; Sordariomycetes.
CAGAGUUGCAAAACUCCCAACCAUUGUGAACCUACCUACAGUUGCUUCGGCAGGCGGCUUCGUCCUAGUUUCAGCGCUCUCGGGCGCUGGUUUUAGGGAGAAGCUCAGCAUCCUUCAGUGGGUGCGUUUGCCGAUAGCCCCUAAACUCUUUAUAUUUUAGGCCUCUCUGAGUAAAAACAAAAAUAAGUUA